Molecule: long non-coding RNA, 1006 nt
Organism: Carassius carassius (crucian carp)
Lineage: Eukaryota; Metazoa; Chordata; Actinopteri; Cypriniformes; Cyprinidae
Exons: 7
Source: RefSeq, a predicted model, not a curated record
AAUCUAACCUGAGACAUUCCAAAUGAGGAAUGUUGUGCUUUUCCAAUUGAAAGAACUACAGAUAAUGAAACCAAACUGAACAAGCCUUUUAGAAAGAUCGAUGCGAGAGCUUCACUCUUCAUCGUGCCCUUUCUGUGAGAGGAAGAGACAUGAAUGAGGAUAUUUGGUUGAAGAUCCAGUGUCACGGCUCUUGGCUCUCAGCUUGUUGACCUGAGACUCAGCAAUAUCAGCCCUCUCCUCUGCCUCAUCCAGCUCAUGCUGAAGCUUACGGAACUUGCCCAGGAUCCUGUUGGGAAAUCCCUUUCUGCAGAUUCUGAUGCCCUCCAGCACACCGUUACAGCGCAGCUGGUGCAUGACCAGAGGAUUCUCCAUCGCCCCAGGAGUCUUAGUCUCAUUGGGGAUGAUGCAGCGUACAAAGUCUGAAGUUUUUUUUUUUUGCACUUGAAAGAAAUGAAGAUGCAAUGCCAGUGAGACAGAUGAAUUUUAGGAGGACACACUUUUGUCAGUGAGAGAUGCAUCCUUCAUAUUAUUCAGUGUACGAACAGGGGAAGACACCAUGAUUCUCCAACCAUCUACAAAAGAUUUAUGAUUCAAAAGAUUCAUUUAUGCUUGAAAGAUUAAAUGAUGUGAGACUCCAAAUCUCCCAGGAAGAAUCUCCUAAAAACGAUUAGUCGAUUGUUCUACAGGAUUGACAGUACAAGAGAGGACACAAGCAGCCAGCUGUCUGGGAAUCAUAAUGUUAAUUCAAUAGAGCUACGAUGCUAAGUUAAGUCACUUCUGUCUCUGGGAGACUACAUUUGAUAUUGUCUAAUGUUAUACUGAAAUGGAUUCGUAUUUAGGGUUCCCAUACAUUUCAAUCAAUGACUUAGGACUAUUUCCAAUAUAACAUUUUAGAGAAAUAUCACUCACAAAGAGCAAUUUCUGCUCAUAACAAGAAAAUCACUAGCAUUUCAUAACACAUUGCCAAGACAAGGAUUUUAAUAUAUUUCCUGGUUUGAAAUCCAUG